GGAUGCAGAAUCCCAGAUGCACACAGCAUCAACAUCAAGAGGGAUUACAGUUUCACCUAAUCUGCUCACUGUAGCUCAGACUUGCUUGCUUUCCUGUUGAUCCUUUUCUUGGUCCUAUUAACUUGCUAUCCACUAUGACCUUUUAAGUCCUUUGCAGCACAGUUAGCCAGUUCCCAGCACUACUGGAACAUGGAUAUAUUCAUCCAAGUACAGAAUCUCAUAAUAUUUAUUUUGCUCAGUCCCACAGUCCUUCUGGAAAGACACUGUGCUACUUUAUGUGUAAACUACUUUUUUUAAUUUUAGUAUCAUCCACAGGUUUGGUGCAAAUGUAAGGUCAGUCAUGAAGACAUUGACCAACCCCAUCAAGACAUUGAUUAACUACCCUUUGAGCUCAUCAAUUUGACCCAGUUAAUGGCCUUAACACCUUUUUGUGUGUGUGUGUGCAGUCUAUGCCUCCUCUGGCUAUGAAUGAGAAUGCUGCAAGGACUAAAAAUUAGUAAAGGCUACACGCCUUUCUUCUGCUGGGGGCACCAGGCCUGGACAGAGUACUCCAGCUGGGGCCUCUUGAGGGCAAAAUAGAAGGGGACAAUCACUUCCCUCUCCCUGCUGCCACCUUUCUUUUGAUGCAGCCCAGGAUACCAUUGGCUUUCUGCAUGCAGAGAUUUCUGACAGAUAGAUUUCUCUCUGCUAUCCAUAGCCAUAUAAAAGAAGUUCCAGAAGCAGACAGAUCCUGUGAGAACUGUUGGAUAUGAGGAAUGACACAUUAUAUAAUGCAAUUGCCUUAUCCUGCAUGAGGAAGGUUGGCUAAGAUUGUACAACAAAGCAGUAUUAAAUGGGAAGUCAAAGUAAAUUAUCAUGAAGUUAUUUUUGCUGCAAUGUAAAUGAAAAAAAGACCUGAAAGUGAACAAGAAACAGAACCCAACUAAUGACUGAACUGGAGACGGUACAUAAAGAAGAACUGAACCACACAUUUUUUUCUGCUUGUCCUCCUGCAAACUGUAUGGGCGGUGAGUAUAAAAAGCACACAGUCUGAAAUUAGAGGCGGAAAGAAACCACACAACUCAGACUCAGACACUGAAUGCCACUUUGCAGUACAUUUCACUCCCUGGGAGAGUUCACUGACACCAGUUGCAUGGCUCAUGGAACCCAACCAGUAUGAAGUUGCUCUCAGCAGAACUUUGGUAGACCUAAACCCAACAUGACAUGUAUGAGCACGUUUACAGACACACUUCUCUCUCAGGUGA
Molecule: long non-coding RNA, 1244 nt
Filed under: Meleagris gallopavo (turkey)
Lineage: Eukaryota; Metazoa; Chordata; Aves; Galliformes; Phasianidae
Description: lncRNA (ENSMGAG00000021191.1)
Source: RNAcentral